This 445-nucleotide ribosomal RNA is filed under the name soybean endophytic bacterium EN171. RNAcentral's name for it is "bacterial SSU rRNA". It matches the Rfam family "Bacterial small subunit ribosomal RNA", at positions 889 to 1334 of the family's 1533-position model. The record is from RNAcentral.
CAAGGUUAAAACUCAAAUGAAUUGACGGGGGCCNGCACAAGCGGUGGAGCAUGUGGUUUAUUUNGAUGCAACGCGAAGANCUUUACCUACUCUUGACAUCCAGAGAACUUNCCAGAGAUGCAUUGGUGCCUUCGGGAACUCUGAGACAGGUGCUGCAUGGCUGUCGUCAGCUCGUGUUGUGAAAUGUUGGGUUAAGUCCCGCAACGAGCGCAACCCUUAUCCUUUGUUGCCAGCGGUNCGGCCGGGAACUCAAAGGAGACUGCCAGUGAUAAACUGGAGGAAGGUGGGGAUNACGUCAAGUCAUCAUGGCCCUUACGAGUAGGGCUACACACGUGCUACAAUGGCGCAUACAAAGAGAAGCGACCUCGCNAGAGCAAGCGNACCUCAUAAAGUGCGUCGUAGUCCGGAUUGGAGUCUGCAACUCGACUCCAUGAAGUCGGAAUCG